UCAAGCGAAAUAAGGGCGCACGGAGGAUGCCUUGGCACGGACAGGCGAAGAAGGGCGUGGUAAGCUGCGAAAAGCAUCGGGGAGCCGCACGCAGGCGUUGAUCCGGUGAUGCCCGAAUGGGGAAACCCGGCGGCCGUCAUGGGCCGUCAUCCCACCCUGAAUCCAUAGGGGUGAGGAAGCCAACGGGGAGAACUGAAACAUCUAAGUAUCCCCAGGAAAAGAAAUCAAACGAGAUUCCCUGAGUAGCGGCGAGCGAAACGGGAGGAGCCCAAACCGUGCCUUCGGGUGCGGGGUUGUAGGGCCGGAGCGGGGCAUAGUCCCGCUCGACCAGGCGACGUAGCGGAAGCGUGCUGGAACGCACCGCCGAAGAGGGUGAGAGCCCCGUAUGCGAAACGUUUGUCUGGCGAGUGGCUUCGGUACCUGAGUACGGCGGGACACGAGAAAUCCCGUCGGAAGCAGGGAGGACCAUCUCCCAAGGCUAAAUACUCCCUAGUGACCGAUAGUGAACCAGUACCGUGAGGGAAAGGUGAAAAGCACCCCGGAAGGGGAGUGAAAUAGAUCCUGAAACCGUGUGCCUACAAGUAGUUAGAGCCCGUUAAUGGGUGAUAGCGUGCCUUUUGUAGAAUGAACCGGCGAGUUACGAUUACAUGCGAGGUUAAGUUGGACAGACGGAGCCGUAGCGAAAGCGAGUCUGAAUAGGGCGAAUGAGUAUGUGGUCGUAGACCCGAAACCAGGUGAUCUACCCAUGUCCAGGGUGAAGUCCAGGUAACACUGGAUGGAGGCCCGAACCCACGUACGUUGAAAAGUGCGGGGAUGAGGUGUGGGUAGCGGAGAAAUUCCAAUCGAACUUGGAGAUAGCUGGUUCUCUCCGAAAUAGCUUUAGGGCUAGCCUCAUGCGUAAGAAUCUUGGAGGUAGAGCACUGUUUGGACUAGGGGCCCUCAUCGGGUUACCGAAUUCAGACAAACUCCGAAUGCCAAAGAUUUAUCCAUGGGAGUCAGACUGCGAGUGAUAAGAUCCGUAGUCAAGAGGGAAACAGCCCAGACCACCAGCUAAGGUCCCAAAGUAUACGUUAAGUGGAAAAGGAUGUGGAGUUGCUUAGACAACCAGGAUGUUGGCUUAGAAGCAGCCACCAUUUAAAGAGUGCGUAAUAGCUCACUGGUCGAGUGACUCCGCGCCGAAAAUGUACCGGGGCUAAACGUAUCACCGAAGCUGUGGAUUGAACAUCGUUGAUGUUCAGUGGUAGGAGAGCGUUCUAAGGGCGUUGAAGCUAGACCGUAAGGACUGGUGGAGCGCUUAGAAGUGAGAAUGCCGGUAUGAGUAGCGAAAGAUGGGUGAGAAUCCCAUCCACCGAAUGCCUAAGGUUUCCUGAGGAAGGCUCGUCCGCUCAGGGUUAGUCGGGACCUAAGCCGAGGCCGAAAGGCGUAGGCGAUGGACAACAGGUUGAUAUUCCUGUACCACCGUAUUCUGUUUGAGUGAUGGGGGGACGCAGGAGGAUAGGGUAAGCGCACGAUUGGAUGUGCGUCUAAGCAGUUAGAGGGACCAUGAGGCAAAUCCCAUGGUCAUAUACCUUGAGCUGUGAUAGCGAGGGAAAUUUAGUACCGAAGUUCUUGAUUCCACACUGCCAAGAAAAGCCUCUAGCGAGGAAUAAGGUGCCCGUACCGCAAACCGACACAGGUAGGCGAGGAGAGAAUCCUAAGGUGAGCGAGAGAACUCUCGUUAAGGAACUCGGCAAAAUGACCCCGUAACUUCGGGAGAAGGGGUGCUCAUUAGGGUGUUAAAGCCUUGAUGAGCCGCAGUGAAUAGGCCCAGGCGACUGUUUAGCAAAAACACAGGUCUCUGCGAAGCCGCAAGGCGAAGUAUAGGGGCUGACGCCUGCCCGGUGCUGGAAGGUUAAGAGGAGAGGUUAGCUCACGCGAAGCUUUGAAUCGAAGCCCCAGUAAACGGCGGCCGUAACUAUAACGGUCCUAAGGUAGCGAAAUUCCUUGUCGGGUA
Molecule: ribosomal RNA, 1993 nt
Filed under: hot springs metagenome
Description: bacterial LSU rRNA
Rfam family: Bacterial large subunit ribosomal RNA
Source: RNAcentral